UCCCUUGUGGCUCAGCUGGUAAAGAAUCCCGCUUGGAAUGCGGGAGACCUGGGUUCAAUCCCUGGCUUGGGAA
Molecule: transfer RNA, 73 nt
Filed under: Bos taurus (domestic cattle)
Lineage: Eukaryota; Metazoa; Chordata; Mammalia; Artiodactyla; Bovidae
Also listed under: 4 other names
Rfam family: tRNA
About the family: Transfer RNA (tRNA) molecules are approximately 80 nucleotides in length. Their secondary structure includes four short double-helical elements and three loops (D, anti-codon, and T loops).
Source: Rfam by way of RNAcentral